RNAcentral lists this small RNA (41 nucleotides) under Arabidopsis thaliana (thale cress). RNAcentral describes it as "ATSL243060". Lineage: Eukaryota; Viridiplantae; Streptophyta; Magnoliopsida; Brassicales; Brassicaceae. The record is from RNAcentral.
UCAGGCGGGACAACAAGCGGGUUUUGGUCCAAGUUCAGUUU